CAAAAGGCUCUUUUAAGAGCCACUUUCUGUUCUCACUGAGAGUGG
This is a non-coding RNA of Sus scrofa (pig), 45 nucleotides long. The record is from Rfam. Lineage: Eukaryota; Metazoa; Chordata; Mammalia; Artiodactyla; Suidae.